UUUUAUCCCUAACUUCUAAAUUAAAUUUAUGAUAAAACAUUCUAACCUCAUAGCCACUGUCUUCUCAAAACUAUGAACCCUAAAAUCUGGAAGAAGAUAAAAUUCAUACUCAUAACCACCAAAUUAUAAAAAUUACGCACUUUAAAAUCUAAAAGAAGAAAAAUGUAAAAUUCAUCGGACAAUGUUCCUAUAGCCUUAAUCUAUUAUUCCUC
RNAcentral lists this long non-coding RNA (212 nucleotides) under Salvia miltiorrhiza (redroot sage). RNAcentral's name for it is "long non-coding RNA (SMIL_LNC000102)". The record is from RNAcentral. Lineage: Eukaryota; Viridiplantae; Streptophyta; Magnoliopsida; Lamiales; Lamiaceae.